RNAcentral lists this ribosomal RNA (254 nucleotides) under uncultured bacterium. Its description in RNAcentral is "partial 16S ribosomal RNA". It matches the Rfam family "Bacterial small subunit ribosomal RNA", at positions 524 to 776 of the family's 1533-position model. The record is from RNAcentral.
UACGUAGGGGGCAAGCGUUGUUCGGAAUGACUGGGCGUAAAGGGUGCGUAGGCGGUGUAGCAAGUUAGAAGUGAAAUACCUAGAGCUUAACUCAGGUGCUGCUUCUAAAACUGCUAUACUCGAGUGCAGUAGAGGAAAGUGGAAUUCCUAGUGUAGCGGUGGAAUGCGUAGAUAUUAGGAGGAACAUCAGUGGCGAAGGCGACUUUCUGGACUGUAACUGACGCUGAGGCACGAAAGUGUGGGGAGCAAACAGG